GGCCUCUUGAUCAAAGCUACCGGGUGGAGAUGAGUCCGCGUCCCAUUAGCUAGUUGGUAGGGUAAUGGCCUACCAAGGCGACGAUGGGUAGCUGGUCUGAGAGGACGAUCAGCCACACUGGAACUGGAACACGGUCCAGACUCCUACGGGAGGCAGCAGUGAGGAAUAUUGCGCAAUGGGGGAAACCCUGACGCAGCGAUGCCGCGUGGGUGAAGAAGGCCUUCGGGUCGUAAAGCCCUGUCAAGUGGGAAGAACAGCUUCGGGACGAAUAAUUCCGAGGUGUGACGGUACCACUGAAGGAAGCACCGGCUAACUCCGUGCCAGCAGCCGCGGUAAGACGGAGGGUGCAAGCGUUAUUCGGAUUUAUUGGGCGUAAAGAGCGUGUAAGGCGGCCCGGUCAAGCCAGAUGUGAAAGCCCCAGGGCUUAACCCUUGGAAGUGCAUUUGGAACUGGGUUGGCUUGAGUUUCGGGAAAAGGGAAAUUGGGAAUUCCCGGGUGGU
This 500-nucleotide ribosomal RNA is filed under the name uncultured bacterium. Its description in RNAcentral is "bacterial SSU rRNA". It matches the Rfam family "Bacterial small subunit ribosomal RNA", at positions 191 to 679 of the family's 1533-position model. The record is from RNAcentral.